AACGCUAGCUACAGGCUUAACACAUGCAAGUCGAGGGGUAACGAGAGGAAAGCUUGCUUUUCUUGUCGACGACCGGCGCACGGGUGAGUAACGCGUAUGCAACCUACCUAUCAGAGGGGAAUAACCCGGCGAAAGUCGGACUAAUACCGCAUAAAACAGGGGCACCGCAUGGUGAUAUUUGUUAAAGAAAUUCGCUGAUAGAUGGGCAUGCGUUCCAUUGGGUAGUUGGUGAGGUAACGGCUCACCAAGCCGACGAUGGAUAGGGGAACUGAGAGGUUGGUCCCCCACACUGGUACUGAGACACGGACCAGACUCCUACGGGAGGCAGCAGUGAGGAAUAUUGGUCAAUGGGCGAGAGCCUGAACCAGCCAAGUAGCGUGCAGGAUGACGGCCCUAUGGGUUGUAAACUGCUUUUAUACAGGAAUAAAGUUAGCCACGUGUGGUUAUUUGUAGGUACUGUAUGAAUAAGGACCGGCUAAUUCCGUGCCAGCAGCCGCGGUAAUACGGAAGGUCCAGGCGUUAUCCGGAUUUAUUGGGUUUAAAGGGAGCGUAGGCCGUCUGUUAAGCGUGUUGUGAAAUGUAGAUGCUCAACAUCUGAAUUGCAGCGCGAACUGGCAGACUUGAGUGUGCGCAACGUAGGCGGAAUUCGUGGUGUAGCGGUGAAAUGCUUAGAUAUCACGAAGAACUCCGAUUG
This 694-nucleotide ribosomal RNA is filed under the name uncultured bacterium. Its description in RNAcentral is "bacterial SSU rRNA". It matches the Rfam family "Bacterial small subunit ribosomal RNA", at positions 32 to 715 of the family's 1533-position model. The record is from RNAcentral.